UGCAGUCAACGGAAACAGGACGCUAGGAUUCCUUCGGGAUGACUUUGUCGCUGUCGAGUGGCGGACGGGUGAGUAAUGCGUAGAAAUUUGCCUUGAAGUGGGGGAUAGCCCGGAGAAAUCCGGAUUAAUACCGCAUGCGCUCUAAGGAGCAAAGCGGGCCUCUUCUUGAAAGCUCGCGCUUUGAGAUAAGUCUACGUCGGAUUAGCUAGUUGGUAGGGUAAAGGCCUACCAAGGCAACGAUCCGUAGCUGGUUUGAGAGGAUGAUCAGCCACACUGGGACUGAGACACGGCCCAGACUCCUACGGGAGGCAGCAGUGGGGAAUAUUGGACAAUGGGCGCAAGCCUGAUCCAGCAAUGCCGCGUGUGUGAAGAAGGCCUGCGGGUUGUAAAGCACUUUUAUUAGGAAAGAAAAGUCUGGGGUUAAUAACCUUCAGACCCUGACGGUACCUAAAGAAUAAGCACCGGCUAACUCAGUGCCAGCAGCCGCGGUAAUACUGAGGGUGCAAGCGUUAAUCGGAAUUACUGGGCGUAAAGCGAGUGUAGGCGGCUUCGUAAGUCGGAUGUGAAAUCCCCGGGCUCAACCUGGGAAUGGCAUUCGAUACUGCGAAGCUAGAGUCUGAUAGAGGGAAGUGGAAUUCCAGGUGUAGCGGUGAAAUGCGUAGAGAUCUGGAGGAACACCAGUGGCGAAGGCGGCUUCCUGGAUCAAGACUGACGCUGAGGUGCAGUCAACUGCAGUCAACAACAGGG
This 747-nucleotide ribosomal RNA is filed under the name uncultured Chromatiales bacterium. Its description in RNAcentral is "bacterial SSU rRNA". It matches the Rfam family "Bacterial small subunit ribosomal RNA", at positions 56 to 776 of the family's 1533-position model. The record is from RNAcentral. Lineage: Bacteria; Pseudomonadati; Pseudomonadota; Gammaproteobacteria; Chromatiales.